RNAcentral lists this small RNA (28 nucleotides) under Bombyx mori (domestic silkworm). RNAcentral's name for it is "ovarian small RNA-33240". The record is from RNAcentral. Lineage: Eukaryota; Metazoa; Arthropoda; Insecta; Lepidoptera; Bombycidae.
UGCAAAAUGUUAUUCUAAAUUGAACGUG